AUGGAGCCCGACGACGAGGCGCUCAAGGAGCUGGCCGCCGCCUCGUCGCGGCCGCCGCAGCGGAGGGGCAUCUCCUACAGCCAGCCGCUGUCGCGCGGGGACACCGCGUCCGCGCGCCGCGCCGCGCUCCGCAACCUCAGCCUCGACGACGACCACGUCCUCCCGGCCUCCCACUCCCUCUCCUACGCGCACCACGACCCCUCCGCCGGCGUCCCCGCGGGGUACCACCCGCCGCUCCCGCCGCAGCAGCAGCACCACCACCACCCCAGCGCCUCCUACUCCUCCGGCCCCAGCUCCCGCCGCUCCGUCGGCGGCGCCAGCGACGGCUCCAUGACGCUCGAGCGCGCCAUGUCCGAGUACGGCGGCGGCGCCGGCACCCUCCCGGAGUUCGUCGGCGCGGGCGGCGGCAAGGGCAUCUUCCGCGUGCCGCUCCGCGCGGCAAUGCACCCGCACCGCCCUCCCCCGCUCGAGGUGCGGCCCCACCCGCUCCGGGAGACGCAGGCCGGCUCCUUCCUCCGCACGCUCGCCUCCGAUCCGCAGCGCCGCCAGCUCUGGGCCGGGGCCGAGUCCGGGAUCCGGGUGUGGGCGCUCGACGAGGUGUUCGCCGGGUGGGGCGCUGGCGCGCGCCGCGGCGACGAGGAGAGCGCGCCCUUCCGCGAGGGCGUGCCCGCGCCGCCCGCGCUCUGCGUCGCCAUGGACAGGGCCAACGGCCUGCUGUGGACGGGGCACAAGGACGGGAGGAUCCGCUCGUGGCGCAUGGACCUCGAGACGGCCGCCACGGCGCCCGCGCCUCCGCCUCCUGGUUCAGGCGGCGAAGGGAGCGUUGGGGGAAGCGCACACGGUGGACCCAACAGCGCCCCCGUGUUCAGGGAAGCCCUCACGUGGCAGGCCUACGGCCGCACGCCGGUGCUCUCCAUGGCCAUCACCUCGUAUGGUGAGAUAUGGUCGGGCUCAGAGGGUGGAGUCAUAAAGGCAUGGCCAUACGACGCCAUUGCCAAGUCCCUCUCGCUGUCACCGGAAGAGAGGCACAUGGCUGCAUUGUUGGUGGAGAGGGCGUACAUUGACCUCAGGAACCAUUGCACAGUUGGCAACGUAUGCUCUCUCCCUGCAUCUGAUGUUAAGUACAUGCUUGCCGAUCAUUCUCGGGCCAAGGUUUGGACCCUGACAAGCAUGACAUUUGCUCUCUGGGAUGCUCGUACAAGGGAGCUGCUGAAAGUAUUUGGAAUGGAUGGCCAAGUUGAGUCGGCUCGGCUAGAUACACCGGUCAUGCCAGAGCAACCCAUGGAGGAAGUAGAGGUCAAAGUAAAACCAUCUAAGAAGGACAAGUCGGGAGGCUCUUUGAACUUCUUCCAGAAAUCUAGGAAUGCCUUAAUGGGAGCAGCCGACGCGGUGCGCAGGGUUGCAACAAAGGGGACAUUUGUCGAAGAUAACCGGAGAACAGGAGCAGUGGCUCAAGCAGAUGAUGGGGCAAUUUGGUCUGGAUGCACAAAUGGUUGCAUUAUCCAGUGGGAUGGAAAUGGGAACCGAAUGCAGGAGUUCCAGCAUCAUACUUCUUCUGUGCAGUGCAUAAAGGCACUCGGAGAUAGGGUGUGGGUCGGCUACGCCAGUGGUACUGUUCAAGUCAUGGAUGUCGAUGGUAACCUUCUCGCAGGAUGGACUGGACAUAGCUGCCCGGUCAUAAGGAUGGCGAUUGGUGGUUCUUACAUCUACACUCUGGCACAUCAUGGCGGUAUCCGGGGAUGGCCACUGACUUCCCCUGGACCUCUUGAUGAUGUUUUGCGAACUGAAUUGGCUAACAAAGAAUUGUCAUACACUAGAAUGGAAAAGAUAAACAUAAUGGUUGGAAGUUGGAAUGUAGCGCAGGGAAAAGCAACUGCCGAGUCACUUAAAGCAUGGUUGGGUAGCGUAGCAUCUGAUGUCGGGUUAGUUGUUGUUGGAUUACAAGAGGUUGAGAUGGGUGCAGGUUUUCUUGCAAUUUCUGCAGCAAAAGAAACUGUAGGACUUGAGGGAAGUGCCAAUGGUCAAUGGUGGAUAGAUAAUAUAGGCAAAGCACUUGAUGAGGGGACAUCAUUCCACCGAGUUGGUUCUAGGCAGUUGGCUGCAUUGCUUAUUGCUGCAUGGGCAAGAAAAAGUCUUAAGCCAUAUGUCGGUGAUGUUGAGGCUGCAGCAGUUCCAUGUGGUCUUGGACGUGCCAUCGGCAAUAAGGGUGGUGUAGGAUUAAGAAUAAGAGUCUACGAUCGUAAAAUGUGUUUUGUGAGCAAUCAUUUUGCUGCACAUCUGGAAGCUGUUGCCAGGCGCAAUGCUGACUUCGAUCACAUUUAUCGUACAAUGGCUUUCAACAAACCUCAUGGAUCCACAUCUUCUGCUACAUCUGUCCAAUUGCACAGAACAGUGAAUGUUAAUGGAAAUCCAGUUGAUGAGGUCAGGCCUGACUUGGCUGAUGCUGAUAUGGUUGUCUUUCUUGGUGAUUUCAACUACCGGCUUUAUGGUAUCACAUAUGAUGAAGCAAGGGACAUGGUUUCCCAAAGAAGCUUUGAUUGGCUAAGAGAGAAGGAUCAGCUUCGAGCAGAAAUGAAAGCUGGAAAAGUAUUUCAAGGAAUGCGUGAAGGUCUGAUCAAAUUCCCACCGACUUACAAAUUCCAAAAGCACGCGCCAGGUCUUGGAGGGUAUGAUUCGGGUGAGAAGAAGCGGAUACCUGCUUGGUGUGAUAGGGUGCUAUAUCGCGACAGUCGUGCUGUAUCAGUAGCCGAAUGCUCGCUAGAGUGCCCUGUAGUUGCUGCAAUUACAUCGUAUGUAGCUGUCAUGGAGGUCACAGAGAGUGAUCAUAAACCUGUGAGGUGCACAUUUAGCGUUGAUAUUGCACGAGUAGAUGAGUUAACAAGAAGACAAGAGUAUGGAGAAAUAAUCGAAUCGAAUGAGGAAGUGCGGUCUAUGCUUAAGGAGUCUUGUUUUGUUCCUGACAGCACAGUUAGCACAGAGGAAAUUAUAUUGGAAAAUCAAGAGAAUAUUGUUUUCCAAAUUACCAAUAAUUGUGAAACAAGCAAAGCAGCUUUUGAAAUCCUAUGUGAAGGCCAGUCGACCAAAAAGGACGACGGGACUAAACCAGAGAUUAUUCCAAGGGCAUCAUUUGGCUUUCCACUUUGGCUUGAGGUCCUACCAGCGAACGGUCUUAUUAAACCAGGAGAAACCGUGGAUAUUACAAUACACCAUGAGGACUUCUACACACAAGAAGAAUUUGUGGACGGGAUACCACAAAACUGGUGGUGCGAAGACACCAGGGACAAGGAAGCUGUUAUUAUGGUAAACAUAACUGGUAGCACCUCAACUGAAACCAAGACGCACAUGAUCAAUGUCCGACAUCGCUGCCCAGCAACAUCAGCGCCCCCACCUAUCAAUCCACCGGUGACACUAACUCCACCAAGCAAUAACAUGCCCAGUGAAGCGCUGACUAAGCGUUCUUCUAAGAAGAAGGAGGCGAGUCGUCAACAACAACAGGACUACGCGCAGUUCGCAAGCGCGGAGGUGCAUGAUUUGUACCGCAUGCGUUGUCCCUGA
Molecule: ribosomal RNA, 3555 nt
Filed under: Triticum aestivum (bread wheat)
Lineage: Eukaryota; Viridiplantae; Streptophyta; Magnoliopsida; Poales; Poaceae
Description: partial small subunit ribosomal RNA
Source: RNAcentral